This 446-nucleotide ribosomal RNA is filed under the name uncultured bacterium. RNAcentral's name for it is "partial 16S ribosomal RNA". It matches the Rfam family "Bacterial small subunit ribosomal RNA", at positions 338 to 795 of the family's 1533-position model. The record is from RNAcentral.
CCUACGGGAGGCAGCAGUCGAGAAUCAUUCACAAUGGGGGAAACCCUGAUGGUGCGACGCCGCGUGGGGGAAUGAAGGUCUUCGGAUUGUAAACCCCUGUCAUGUGGGAGCAAAUUAAAAAGAUAGUACCACAAGAGGAAGAGACGGCUAACUCUGUGCCAGCAGCCGCGGUAAUACAGAGGUCUCAAGCGUUGUUCGGAAUCACUGGGCGUAAAGCGGGCGUAGGCUGUUUCGUAAGUCGUGUGUGAAAGGCGCGGGCUCAACCCGCGGACGGCACAUGAUACUGCGAGACUAGAGUAAGGGAGGGGGAACCGGAAUUCUCGGUGUAGCAGUGAAAUGCGUAGAUAUCGAGAGGAACACUCGUGGCGAAGGCGGGUUCCUGGACAUUAACUGACGCUGAGGCACGAAGGCCAGGGGAGCGAAAGGGAUUAGAUACCCCGGUAGUC